This 443-nucleotide ribosomal RNA is filed under the name uncultured bacterium. Its description in RNAcentral is "partial 16S ribosomal RNA". It matches the Rfam family "Bacterial small subunit ribosomal RNA", at positions 338 to 795 of the family's 1533-position model. The record is from RNAcentral.
CCUACGGGUGGCUGCAGUGGGGAAUAUUUGGCAAUGGGCGCAAGCCUGACCCAGCAACGCCGCGUGAAGGAAGAAGGCUUUCGGGUUGUAAACCUCUUUUCUCAGGGACGAAGCAAGUGACGGUAUCUGAGGAAUAAGCCACGGCUAACUACGUGACAGCAGCCGCGGGAAUACGUCGGUGGCAAGCGUUAGCCGGAUUUACUGGGUGUAAUGGGCGUGUAGGCGGGAUUGCAGGUCAGAUGUGAAAACAACGGGCUCAACCUGUGGCCUGCAUUUGAAACUGUAAUUCUUGAGUAAUGGAGAGGCAGACGGAAUUCCUGGUGUAGCGGUGAAAUGCGUAGAUAUUAGGAGGAACACCAGUGGCGAAGGCGGUCUGCUGGACAGCAACUGACGCUGAGGCGCGAAAGCGUGGGGAGCAAACAGGAUUAGAUACCCUAGUAGUC